GAAAUCGUCCCUCCUAAAGACCUAACCAUUAACUACAUACUGUCUGAAACAAGUGUUAGAUCCCAGGGCUGCCUCUUCAUUCCAGUCUGCCUUCUUGGAGAAUCAUCAGAUCUCUAGAGUCCUUAUUUCCCCAAACCUGGGCUGCUGCAGACUUCCACUCUGAUUUCCCCCAAGAGGUUUGACUCAGCCUAUGACCUUGAGCAAGUCCCUCCCACCUCCAGGCCCCAGUGUCCACACUUGUCAGAUGGAAGAAUAAGCUCAAAAUGGGGUUCCUUCUAACGGGCAGAGACUCUGGAACUGUCAUCUUCCAGAUGGGUGGAGGAGGUGGGCAAGGCCAGCUGAGCCCCAGGGUGAGGCAGGAAAUGGAAGAGCAGACCCCGGACCCAGCCUGGUGCCCAUUUCAUCAAUGUCUGCUUUUGUCUGGAGCGCUCAGCAAGCAGGGGACAGAGGAAGGGAAAGAAGACGAAGACAGCAGCCAAGUUGCACAGCACAAAACAGCACUCUGCUUGCAGAUACCCAGCCCAGAGUUCAAACGCCAGCUCAGCCACAUCUCUUGCUGUGUGAUCUUGGACAAACCGCCUACCUCCCCAAGCCUCGGAACUCUCAUUUAUAAAACCAGCAGCAAUCAGGAUCCUCAUUUCCAGUUACAGUGUGAAUGAGCCUUGCUCUCGCAGCAACUGCAGACCUGGAAUUUCCCAGCACUGCAGAGCAAAACCAACCCACAGCCCAGGGCUCCAACUCAAAGGCUCUGAGUCUCCCCUCUGCACGGUCUGGAUGUGGGAGUCCUUUGAAAGAGGUCAAGGCCAAGUCCCUUUCCCUGUCUGUCAAGCAGAAUACUGAGGAAGAGAGCUGACUGGCACCUCCCUCGCAGGAAAGCAACAGGCCAAGUGAGCUGUUAUACGGUAACAGACACUCAGAUUCGACGCUGGAUGGUGCAGUGCAGGAGUACUCGAAGUAUGUCCCUGGACCAGCAUCAUCCAGGAACUGGUUAGAAAAGCAAAGCUCAGGCUCACCCCAGGCCCGCUGAAACAGAAACUGGGGUGAAGCCUUGCAGUCUGUGUUUUAACAAGCAGCCUUUCACAUUGCCUGCCAGCUAAGGGAUGAGAAGGAGGAAGCUGGGAGAUGACCAGGGUUGGCCUGCUACCCCCAGAGUCUGCCUCCCCAGUCAAGGCCAGAACCAGCACCAUGAUUUCAGCGCCAGGAAGCCCAGUCCUGCAAGCCAGCACAGGCCGUGGAGCUGCAGCAGGGGGUGCUGAUGGAGGAAGGCCAGCAAACCCGCACCUUGCUUCAGCCUCGGGGCUAUCUGGCCCUGAGUACGUCUCCAGCCUGGAGCUGAAGAACUCAGGGGCCGGGCCAGCCUGUGGAGAGGAAGCAGGGCCAGGGCUGGCAGGGUUAUGGACCCAGACAAACAGCAAGGGCCUGGGCUUGAGUCACAUCCAUGCUUCGUCUCACCAGCCUUCUUUUUGAAGGCCUAGUGAUCAGCACUGGCCCUGGGU
Bubalus bubalis (water buffalo) is the source of this 1496-nucleotide long non-coding RNA. RefSeq lists it as uncharacterized. The transcript is spliced from 5 exons. Lineage: Eukaryota; Metazoa; Chordata; Mammalia; Artiodactyla; Bovidae. The record is from RefSeq and is a predicted model, not a curated record.